GCCAUAUGUUGUGUAUGUUAAAUUAAUCAAAGGGAAACAUGUCACUUCUACCAUGAAUAAUUAUGUUUUGUGAUUGGGCAUAAUGAAGUUAUGUAACUUUAGCAUGAUGCCCAAUAACCAACGACUUCCCAAAUCCAGUAAUGUUGUCACAACCUAAUUCCUUUGGAUAAGAUGACCAAUGGCUUUUACAACGCCAGAACAGAUGGUGGCAGUAGUGUGCGGAUUGUGUGUGGCAGCCGGAAACAACGAGCUUGCCGAGUUCUUUGAAUGAAUACAUAUCCGCGGACACUCUGAAGGCGGCAUUCAAGAUGUUUGUAGGGUCCUCACCUCAGCUACCUCUCACAAGGUGCCCCUGAAAAAGAAAUUCAAGACGUUUGGGUCCUCAGCUCAACUGACCAAGACCUUUGCUCAUUGAAGGCAUGAAGUAAUUUGUGAUGCCCCCACGAUUGCAGUUUUUAAAUCCAGAUGGCUUGCUCUUUUUAACAUGUGCGAGAGCUGGAUGGUCUUUCAACAACACUGCUCCGGGUCUUCAGCAAGAAAGGUGCUUCUCAUGCAAGGAAGAUACAGAGGAUCCUGGUGCCCAUGACUCAGACUGACAACAUUGAUGUGAAGAGGGAGUGCAUGCUGAGGAGCUGACGGUCUACCUGAAUGAAGAGCCAGACAAAGUGGAUGUUGAUCUGGACGGUCCAGCUGAAACGUAUUGUCUUCGUGUGCGUGUGAUCGGCAGAGAGUCCUCAACGACAUUGGUAACGUACCUGUGGCCAUUGCAGUGUUUGUUUUGGUUUAUGCUCUUAAUCUCUGUUACCUUCCAGAAUGGAAGUACACUUUCAAAUUUCUGUUUCAUUCUAACCGUCUGUUUCAUCAGUUUUUGCACUGCUUUUAAAUGUACACUGUGUAAGAUUCUUAGUUGUUUAUUUCCAGAAUUCAUGCUACCCAUUCACUAAUGUUACCUUUUUCAUGAAUACUUAGCACCACCAUUAGGGUGCAUCAGUUGCCCCCUAUGAAAAGAUAUGGCCUUGGCC
Engraulis encrasicolus (European anchovy) is the source of this 1022-nucleotide long non-coding RNA. RefSeq lists it as uncharacterized. The record is from RefSeq and is a predicted model, not a curated record. The transcript is spliced from 6 exons. Lineage: Eukaryota; Metazoa; Chordata; Actinopteri; Clupeiformes; Engraulidae.